GCGCGUGUAGCCCAAUCGGCAAGAGGCGGCUGGCUUAAACCCAGCUCGGGUGAGAGUUCGAAUCUCUCCACGCGCACCA
RNAcentral lists this transfer RNA (79 nucleotides) under Acidobacteriota bacterium. RNAcentral's name for it is "tRNA-Leu". It matches the Rfam family "tRNA". From Rfam's summary of the family: Transfer RNA (tRNA) molecules are approximately 80 nucleotides in length. Their secondary structure includes four short double-helical elements and three loops (D, anti-codon, and T loops). Further hydrogen bonds mediate the characteristic L-shaped molecular structure. tRNAs have two regions of fundamental functional importance: the anti-codon, which is responsible for specific mRNA codon recognition, and the 3' end, to which the tRNAs corresponding amino acid is attached (by aminoacyl-tRNA synthetases). tRNAs cope with the degeneracy of the genetic code in two manners: having more than one tRNA (with a specific anti-codon) for a particular amino acid; and 'wobble' base-pairing, i.e. permitting non-standard base-pairing at the 3rd anti-codon position. The record is from RNAcentral. Lineage: Bacteria; Pseudomonadati; Acidobacteriota.